This 1975-nucleotide unclassified non-coding RNA is filed under the name Hevea brasiliensis (rubber tree). The record is from RNAcentral. Lineage: Eukaryota; Viridiplantae; Streptophyta; Magnoliopsida; Malpighiales; Euphorbiaceae.
AAAUUUUUCUUAGGCAACCCAUUAACAUAUCACACUUGUCUACCUGUACCUCUAUUACUGAAUAAGACUCCUUUAUUUUUUGAAAAAAUCCCAUAUUUUGCUUCUCCAACAUUUUCUUUGCAGCUACUGCAUUUUCUAAAUCUAAUAAUGUUGGUUAGGUUGUCCAACCACGUAUUGUAGUGAUAGUAAGAUUGAACUCCAGUCUCAAGCAAUGAGUAAUAAUUCUUUUCAUUCUUGCUUCACUAAUUUUAGACUCAAGAUCAAAUUUAGAAAUUUCGUGGCAAAGAGACUUAACUUUUGUAAAAUAUUCACUUACCAUGAUAUGCUCAAGCAAAACAUCCUCCACAAAGGUCUUAAGUGCAAACAUGACCUUACAUACUUUGACCAUCCAUGUUUCUUUCUCCUUGUUACUUAUAAGUGGUGUUAUCUCAUAUCUGGAAUUGAGAAUCACGGGUCCAAGAAUGUGGAUCAAUAAAUAGGCAGGCCUUUAUGUUGAACUAGGCUUGAAGUUGGGCUCCCAUCACCAAAGUAGUCUAAGUUUUGAAUUGGUUUAUCAACAUUUAUGUAUCCUUUAUAAUUCUCGUGCAUUGCAAAUGUGAAAUUUUGUUCCCAUCUUUAAUAUUCCAACGCUGCUCCUCAAGUGUAAUUAGGUUCAAGCUUAAGCUCACAAGUCUAUUUGUCACUUUCCAUUGCAUGGGGUGGCCUAUUAACUUGUGUCUGGCUCCUUUCCGACUUUGUGCUUAAGGUUUUCCUUGACUAGCCAAUUGGUUCACCUGAAUGGCUCAUUUUGACUCAACUCACAAAUUUAGCUCCUUUUUGCUCAACCCACCAUGCUUUCGAGUCCCAAAUCUACGAUUGUUGGGCCUCACCACUCUAAUACCGUGUUAAGAAUCAUGGGCCCAAGAGUGUGGAUUAAUCAAUAGGCAGACCUUCAUACUGAACUAGGCUUGAAGUUGGCUCCCAUCACCGUUUGGUAAGCCAACACUUAUAUGUCCUUUAUAAUUCUCGUGCACUGCCAAUGUGAGAUUUUGCUCCCACCUUCAAUAUUCCAACAUCCGUCUAUAAGGCUUGACAAAUUAUCGUUACUCGGUAUAACCUCACUUAUAAUGCCAUGUAAACUUGGUUCUCGACCUAUAAGCUUCAUGGUCCCAAACUAUACAUAAGUAGAAUCUCCUUCGAUCCCAUAUCUUUAAUUGACAAUGUCACUUCUUGGCAACUUGACACAAUCUCUAACUAUUGACUCUUUAAAAGACUUAGUCUUAGACCAACGCAGUCCACAGCCUGACUAUGUCCAACAAAGUCUCCUUUUUCUGCACCUUGAUAUUUACACCCUGACCUCUAACUCUAAUACCCAAUGUUGAUAUUUUAGACUACUCUGAUACCAAAUGUUGAGAAUAGGAGCCAAAAAGUAGGAAGCUCAAAGCUAAAAUGGACUUGGGAGUGAAUAAAACUUUUAUUACCAAGUAUUAAAAGAAUACACUUUCACAUUCAAGCAGACACUUUAGCACAACACUAGAUUAUUUCUCACACUUACCACACUUUGCACUCACAGUUCACACACACUCUAAGUCAAACACCUUGGAGUCUCUCACUCUCUUCUUUCUUCUCUGCACGCCACGCACACUCAUUUUAUAUUUUUCUCUUACUCUUUUACACGCCACUCAUUAUUACUCACACUUUCUCUUACACACAAUACUUGCACACAGAAAACAUAUUUAUAGUAGAUGUAGGCCGGUGAUAAGGAGCUUCUGAUGCUUCUCAUAUGUCAGUUCAUGGCACCAGAUUUUUUUGGUUUUUGAGCAGUUCUAGAGUUGAAAGAAACUUCUAGAACCUGGAAGAUAUUUCAUGAUUGUCUUAAUUUGUUGCCUAGAUUUUUCUGUAAUGUGGAAGAAGCUUCUGAAGAUGGAGAGGCAGUGAUGAUUUCAAUUAAGUGUAAUUUGUUUGGUUUUUAACUUGGGAAAAUGUUGUUAUAAGC